GCCGUGUAUGUCGUUAUGUUAAACAUGAUUUGAAGCCAAGUGUUAAAGGACCACUAUAGUGCCAGGAAAACAAACUUGUUUUUCUGGCACUAUAUAGUCCUUAGGCCCACCCACACUCAGGGCCCCCCUCCCGCUGGGCUGAAGACCCAUCAGCUACUUACCUUAAUCCAGGCUCCCUCUGCGCUGGUGACCUCUCCUCCCCCUCCGACGUCAGCUCCCGAGU
Pelobates cultripes (western spadefoot toad) is the source of this 223-nucleotide non-coding RNA. The record is from the annotation of a GenBank genome assembly. NCBI's taxonomy places the organism in Eukaryota, Metazoa, Chordata, Amphibia, Anura, Pelobatidae.